RNAcentral lists this ribosomal RNA (292 nucleotides) under uncultured bacterium. RNAcentral's name for it is "partial 16S ribosomal RNA". It matches the Rfam family "Bacterial small subunit ribosomal RNA", at positions 505 to 796 of the family's 1533-position model. The record is from RNAcentral.
GUGCCAGCAGCCGCGGUAAUACAGAGGUCCCAAGCGUUGUUCGGAUUCACUGGGCGUAAAGGGUGCGUAGGUGGUGAGGCAAGUCGGAUGUGAAAUCUCGGAGCUUAACUCCGAAACUGCAUUGGAAACUGCCUUGCUUGAGGUUUGGAGGGGGGACUGGAAUGCUUGGUGUAGCAGUGAAAUGCGUAGAUAUCAAGCGGAACACCAGUGGCGAAGGCGAGUCCCUGGACAACACCUGACACUGAGGCACGAAAGCUAGGGGAGCAAACAGGAUUAGAUACCCUCGUAGUCC